CAGCAGCCGCGGUAAUACGAAGGGUGCAAGCGUUACUCGGAAUUACUGGGCGUAAAGCGUGCGUAGGUGGUGGUUUAAGUCCGUUGUGAAAGCCCUGGGCUCAACCUGGGAAUUGCAGUGGAUACUGGGUCACUAGAGUGUGGUAGAGGAUAGUGGAAUUCCCGGUGUAGCGGUGAAAUGCGUAGAGAUCGGGAGGAACAUCAGUGGCGAAGGCGGCCAUCUGGGACAACACUGACGCUGAAGCACGAAAGCGUGGGGAGCAAACAGGAUUAGAUACCCCCGUAGUCCCUGUCUCUUAUAC
RNAcentral lists this ribosomal RNA (301 nucleotides) under uncultured bacterium. RNAcentral's name for it is "partial 16S ribosomal RNA". It matches the Rfam family "Bacterial small subunit ribosomal RNA", at positions 509 to 807 of the family's 1533-position model. The record is from RNAcentral.